GACGAACCGUGCGAACGUUAUUCGGAAUCACUGGGCUUAAAGGGCGCGUAGGCGGGCGGCUUUGUCAGGGGUGAAAUCUUUCGGCCCAACCGGAAGACUGCCUCUGAGACGGGCCGUCUCGAGGGAGGUAGGGGCAUGCGGAACUUCCGGUGGAGCGGUGAAAUGCGUAGAUAUCGGAAGGAACGCCGGUGGCGAAAGCGGCGUGCUGGACCUCUUCUGACGCUGAGGCGCGAAAGCCAGGGGAGCAAACGGG
This 253-nucleotide ribosomal RNA is filed under the name uncultured bacterium. RNAcentral describes it as "partial 16S ribosomal RNA". It matches the Rfam family "Bacterial small subunit ribosomal RNA", at positions 524 to 776 of the family's 1533-position model. The record is from RNAcentral.